Molecule: ribosomal RNA, 420 nt
Filed under: uncultured bacterium
Lineage: Bacteria
Description: bacterial SSU rRNA
Rfam family: Bacterial small subunit ribosomal RNA
Source: RNAcentral
UAAGGAACAUUGCUCAAUGGGAGAAAUCCUGAAGCAGCAACGCCGCGUGGAGGAUGAAGGGUCUAUGACUUGUAAACUCCUGUAAAGAAGGAAAAAAUUCCCAUUAGAUGGGAGAUGAUGGUACUUCUGGAGUAAGCCCCGGCUAACUACGUGCCAGCAGCCGCGGUAAUACGUAGGGGGCAAGCGUUGUCCGGAUUUACUGGGUGUAAAGGGUGCUCAGGCGGAUUUGUAAGUCAGAGGUGAAAUCUUACAGCUUAACUGUGAAACUGCCUUUGNUACUGCAAGCCUAGAGUAUGGAAGAGAGUGAUGGAAUAUCUGGUGUAGCAGUGAAAUGCGUAGAUAUCAGAUAGAACACCAAUGGCGAAGGCAGUCACUUGGUCCAUUACUGACGCUAAAGCACGAAAGCGUGGGUAGCAAACA